AGCAGCCGCGGUAAUUCCAGCUCCAAUAGCGUAUAUUAAAGUUGUUGCAGUUAAAAAGCUCGUAGUUGAAUUUCGGGAUCAAUUUAUUGGUCGUGCUAUUGUACGUACUGGUAUUAUUGAUUCCUACCUUCUGACGAACCAUGAUGUCAUUAAUUUGGUGUCUUGGGGAAUCAGGACUGUUACUUUGAAAAAAUUAGAGUGUUUAAAGCAGGCUCACGCUUGAAUACAUUAGCAUGGAAUAACGAAAUAGGACGUUUGAUUCUAUUUUGUUGGUUUCUAGGAUCGACGUAAUGAUUAAUAGGGAUAGUUGGGGGCAUUAGUAUUCAAUUGUCAGAGGUGAAAUUCUUGGAUUUAUUGAAGACUAACUACUGCGAAAGCAUUUGCCAAGGAUGUUUUCAUUAAUCAAGAACGAAAGUUAGGGGAUCGAAGACGAUCAGAUACCGUCGUAGUCUUAACCAUAAACUAUGCCGACUAGGGAUCGGAUGAUGUUAAUUU
This 495-nucleotide ribosomal RNA is filed under the name uncultured Glomus. Its description in RNAcentral is "SSU rRNA". It matches the Rfam family "Eukaryotic small subunit ribosomal RNA", at positions 569 to 1069 of the family's 1831-position model. Lineage: Eukaryota; Fungi; Glomeromycota; Glomeromycetes; Glomerales; Glomeraceae. The record is from RNAcentral.